AAAGCAGUAGCUUAAUGGCAAGCACCGCAUUAGUAGUUUUGAAAUUACCGGCAGGUCAAUUAAAACUUACUUCUCUAUGGGAUGCGGAGUAUGUUGGUUCGAAUCCAACCUGCUUUA
RNAcentral lists this transfer RNA (117 nucleotides) under Chitinophaga sp. RNAcentral's name for it is "tRNA-OTHER". It matches the Rfam family "tRNA". From Rfam's summary of the family: Transfer RNA (tRNA) molecules are approximately 80 nucleotides in length. Their secondary structure includes four short double-helical elements and three loops (D, anti-codon, and T loops). Further hydrogen bonds mediate the characteristic L-shaped molecular structure. tRNAs have two regions of fundamental functional importance: the anti-codon, which is responsible for specific mRNA codon recognition, and the 3' end, to which the tRNAs corresponding amino acid is attached (by aminoacyl-tRNA synthetases). tRNAs cope with the degeneracy of the genetic code in two manners: having more than one tRNA (with a specific anti-codon) for a particular amino acid; and 'wobble' base-pairing, i.e. permitting non-standard base-pairing at the 3rd anti-codon position. The record is from RNAcentral. Lineage: Bacteria; Pseudomonadati; Bacteroidota; Chitinophagia; Chitinophagales; Chitinophagaceae.